Molecule: long non-coding RNA, 668 nt
Filed under: Salmo salar (Atlantic salmon)
Lineage: Eukaryota; Metazoa; Chordata; Actinopteri; Salmoniformes; Salmonidae
Description: lncRNA (ENSSSAG00000118724.1)
Source: RNAcentral
CUGAGAACAAUGACACGGGUGCGCGUGUGCAUGUGAAGACUCCAUUUUCUAUUUUCAGUGUUUGAACGAAAACAAGGUCUCCCGGUCGGAAUAUUAUCGCUAUUUUAUGAGAAAAAUCGCAUACAAAUUUAUUUUAAACAGCGUUUGACAUGCUUCGAAGUACGGUAAGGGAAUAUUUUGAAAUUUUAUGCCACGAUAGGCGCCGACGCGUCACCCUUCGGAUAGUGUCUUGAACGCAAGAACAAAACGCAGCUAUUUGGAUAUAACUAUGGAUUACUUGGAACCAAAACAACAUUGGGUGUUGAAGUAGAAGUCCUGGGAGUGCAUUCUGACGAAGAACAGCAAAGGGUCUUGCAGCACCGGUCUAGGUCUGCACCCUGGCUGUCUGCCUGUUCUCCAGAGCUGGCCUGCCUACAUCACCUACGUGUCUGACAUAGUCCGAGACCUGCAGGAGAGUGAGAAGAGGAGGGGAGAGAACUCUACCUGUGUCACUCAGACCGCAUGGGCGUCACCCCACCGCCAACAAGUCACAGGAGUGGCAGAUCAAGGCACCCUGACAACCCAUAGGUUGUUUCCAUGGCAACUAGACCAACAGACAGGGGGCAUUGGUCUCCCAUCCUCACUCCUCCUCUGCCCUGCCCCAGACACACAGCCAAGGAUUGGAGGAG